RNAcentral lists this long non-coding RNA (1327 nucleotides) under Anas platyrhynchos platyrhynchos (common mallard). Its description in RNAcentral is "lncRNA (ENSAPLG00000029123.1)". The record is from RNAcentral. Lineage: Eukaryota; Metazoa; Chordata; Aves; Anseriformes; Anatidae.
AGGUGUGACUCGUGAGGUGUAUUUGAUGGCUCUGGGCCCCAGCAAGGCUUUCCUCAGACAAGCCUGUGCCUGUCUGUUCCUGCAGUGGCUGAAAUGCAGCCUUAUCCUGAAGGAAAUGGUGGCGAGAGGUGGCUGCUGGCUGGAGAAGGGGACAAUAAGAAGUUCUCCUGUCCUAACUUUUUCUGGAGCUUAAAAAGACCUUCUUCUUGUUUCAGAGAUAAGAAAGCUUCAGCCCUUGGGUGCCCCUGUUUCUUCAGGGCCGAUCAGCAUCUGCUUCGUGACUGCGCUGUGCAGGACCUGGUGCUCCUCUGCGGGUGGCUGCUGGAAACACUGCAGUGCGCUGGCAGGACCUCCUUUUGGAUACAAAGCUUUAAUACCCACUGGCUUCUUAUACAGGAUGGUUAUGUCCCAUAAUUAUAUCAUAGGUUUGUAAUUCAGUCAUUUUCUAGGAAACUUCUGUUUGAUUUCUUUCAGGCAGAAGUAGGAUCUGAACCUUCUCCCGUUUUUUCCCCAAGGACUCUGUUCAUGGGAGUGUUGUAUACUAACUGUGAUGCAUCACCUUCACCAGAAAGAUUUUGUGCUGGUCAGUUGAAAAGUUUUUAAGGGGACAAGCUUCAUACCUCAGAACAUCCCUCUUUGCAUCCUAGAGUAAGGUAUGCAGACCCAUUGCUGCUGGCUCCCUAUGAGCUGCCUCAUUCUGAAGCAUAUUUUGACUGGUAUGGAUCCCAUGACUGGUAUGGUUCUGUGUACAUGUUGUAGGGGGAGAAUAGGUGUUAGACUGAUGUUUCCACAUGCCAGUUUGGAAGCUAAAAGUCCAAAAAUUAGGUUCUGCAAUGUGAUAGGCUAAGAAUUAGAAAUAGUACAUCCAAUGAAGCAAAUGCAGAAAAGAAUAAUGCCAUUACAGUAAGUUGAAUUUUCUAGUGGUUAUAGCAUUGACAUAAUUGUGUAGGAUCCUGUGUGAUGGUGACAUUUGCGUAUCCUCUAAAGGAUAACUGUUCAGUGCUAAACAUCUUUGAGAACACCUGCUGCAUUAAAAAUACUGAGUAAAAUACCAAAGCUUGAGUGGAGCCAGAAUUUCUCCUGUUACACAACAGAGAAGAAAACUGUAGUUACAGAUUGAAGAUGUCCUUGCCACAAUUUGCUUUCUUCUGGGUUUUGGAAGGAGUAAGGGGAGAAAAAAGGGAAGUGAAGGAAAGGGAGACUCACGGUGUUGGCAGAAGAAACAGAUGCUGGCAGAAGAAAUGGAUGAAGAAGCAGAGUGUGGUUUAUCACACCUGAACACAGGAAGAAUUAGGCUGAGGCUCAUCUGUUUCUCUUUGGUUUGGAG